UACGGCGGGUGCAAGAGUUAUUCGGAAUCACUGGGUUUAAAGGGUGCGUAGGCGGCUAAAUAAGUCAGAGGUGAAAGCUUGCAGCUUAACUGCGAAAUUGCCUUUGAUACUGUAUAGCUUGAAAGGAGCUGAGGUCAGCAGAAUGUGGCAUGUAGCGGUGAAAUUCAUAGAUAUGCCAUAGAAUACCAAUUGCGAAGGCAGCUGGCUGGGCUUACUUUGACGCUGAGGCACGAAAGCGUUGGGAUCGAACAGG
RNAcentral lists this ribosomal RNA (253 nucleotides) under uncultured bacterium. Its description in RNAcentral is "partial 16S ribosomal RNA". It matches the Rfam family "Bacterial small subunit ribosomal RNA", at positions 524 to 776 of the family's 1533-position model. The record is from RNAcentral.